Molecule: ribosomal RNA, 253 nt
Filed under: uncultured bacterium
Lineage: Bacteria
Description: partial 16S ribosomal RNA
Rfam family: Bacterial small subunit ribosomal RNA
Source: RNAcentral
UACGAAGGGGGCUAGCGUUGUUCGGAAUUACUGGGCGUAAAGGGCGCGUAGGCGGCUCUGUGCGUCGUGCGUGAAAGGCCUGGGCUCAACCCAGGAAUGGCGCUCGAUACGACGGAGCUAGAGUGCAGGAGAGGAUGGUGGAAUUCCCAGUGUAGAGGUGAAAUUCGUAGAUAUUGGGAAGAACACCGGUGGCGAAGGCGGCCAUCUGGACUGCAACUGACGCUGAGGCGCGAAAGCGUGGGGAGCAAACAGG